GUCUUAGUGUCUGCCCUCCUGCCUCUUCCUAUCCCUGUUCUGACCCUUCCUGUAGGCUUCCACCAUAGCAGACUGGUGAGUCUUCCUCAGGAGGAAAUCUAGUAUUUAAAAGUGAAAAAGACUUCCAGCCUGCCAGGCCUAUUAGCACAACAUUGAAACUGAAAAGAAAAGGAGUACUUG
Molecule: long non-coding RNA, 180 nt
Organism: Dermochelys coriacea (leatherback sea turtle)
Lineage: Eukaryota; Metazoa; Chordata; Testudines; Dermochelyidae
Exons: 3
Source: RefSeq, a predicted model, not a curated record